Molecule: ribosomal RNA, 245 nt
Filed under: uncultured Streptococcus sp.
Lineage: Bacteria; Bacillati; Bacillota; Bacilli; Lactobacillales; Streptococcaceae
Description: partial 16S ribosomal RNA
Rfam family: Bacterial small subunit ribosomal RNA
Source: RNAcentral
UAGGUAACCUGCCUGGUAGCGGGGGAGUAACUAAUUGGAAACGAUAGCUAAUACCGCAUAAGAGUAGAUGUUGCAUGACAUUUGCUUAAAAGGUGCAAUUGCAUCACUACCAGAUGGACCUGCGUUGUAUUAGCUAGUUGGUGGGGUGACGGCUCACCAAGGCGACGAUACAUAGCCGACCUGAGAGGGUGAUCGGCCACACUGGGACUGAGACACGGCCCAGACUCCUACGGGAGGCAGCAGGG